GCCUGGGUGGCUCAGUUGGUUGAGUGUCUGACUUCAGCUCAGGUCAUGAUUUCACGGUUUGUGAGCUUGAACCCUGCUUCAGGCU
This 85-nucleotide transfer RNA is filed under the name Felis catus (domestic cat). It matches the Rfam family "tRNA". Rfam says of the family: Transfer RNA (tRNA) molecules are approximately 80 nucleotides in length. Their secondary structure includes four short double-helical elements and three loops (D, anti-codon, and T loops). The record is from Rfam by way of RNAcentral. Lineage: Eukaryota; Metazoa; Chordata; Mammalia; Carnivora; Felidae.